AAUGUGACAUCGCUUUACCAUUCAUGUUCACUGAAGGGCAGAUUUCAGAAAACAUGAAUAGUACAGCGAGUCACAU
RNAcentral lists this microRNA precursor (76 nucleotides) under Cebus imitator (Panamanian white-faced capuchin). RNAcentral's name for it is "miRNA (ENSCCAG00000014702.1)". The record is from RNAcentral. Lineage: Eukaryota; Metazoa; Chordata; Mammalia; Primates; Cebidae.